Molecule: small nuclear RNA, 329 nt
Filed under: Aotus nancymaae (Ma's night monkey)
Lineage: Eukaryota; Metazoa; Chordata; Mammalia; Primates; Aotidae
Description: 7SK RNA (ENSANAG00000010908.1)
Rfam family: 7SK RNA
About the family: 7SK was discovered as an abundant small nuclear RNA in the mid-70s but a possible function has only recently been suggested. Two independent studies have found that 7SK RNA binds the CDK9/cyclin T complex (known as elongation factor P-TEFb).
Source: RNAcentral
GGAUAUAAGGACAAUCUGGCUGUGACAUCUGUCACUUCACUGUUUGCCAGAGUUGAUUUGGCUGAUCUGGCUGGCUAGGUGGGUGUCUCCUUCCUCCCUCACCACUCCAUGUGUGUCCCUCCCAAAGCUGCACACUCGGUCAAAGACGACCAUCCCCAAUAGAGGAGGACUGGUCUUCAGUCAAGGGUAUACAAGUAGCUGCACUCUUCUGCUAGAACCUCCAAACAAGCUCUCAAUAUAUGUAUUUGAUUUUUUUUUUUUUUUUUUUGAGACGGAGUUUCGCUCUUGUUACCCAGGCUGGAGUGCAAUGGCGCGAUCUUGGCUCACCG